AACUUCUUUAUUGUAUUAUUAAUAUUUUCACAUGUAAAUGAUAAAUUUAGUAAAGUUUCCAUUAUAUGAUUUCGUUCUCCUCGUAGAGUUUGUUUAUUACCUAAGUAUGAUAGAUGUACCCGAGAAUCUUUUAUUUAGCUUCGUGCUACAUGUAUUUUAUUAUCUACCGUUAAUUUGUCACGAUAGAAUAUAGAACAAGAUAUUUGCUUAGCUAUUUGAUUAUUGAUACAGAUAAUUUAUAUUUCAUAAAUGGCGGCAUAUUAGACAAAAUAAGGAAAAGUGUUAAAGUGGAUAUUUAUUAGUUCACUUAUAUUAUACAUUGUAAUGAUAGAGGUAUAACUAUAAAUGAACUUGAGUUAUUUUGUCAUAUUGUAUAUUUUAAUAUUUUACUAGUCCGAAUGUUUAUGAUUGCAUUUUGGUUUUAGGACUCCAUUGAUGUAAUUAUAUACAGAGUAUACAUUGUGAACUGUGCCUAUUCCUUGCCAGUAAAAACUCACUCCACAAGUGAGUUUAUUUUUAUACUACUGGUAUAAUAAAUCAUCCGAACCCUAAACAGAGUUUGUUAUAUCUUUACCCAAGAACCGACCCUGUUACAAAAUGGCGCCCAACGUGGUUUAGUGGAUUGAUGGCACAGUCGAAUUAGGGUACCAGUGUGUGUGUGUGACCACCGAAGCAGACGACAGACGAGACCACGUGAUGUUUGUUUACCAACAAUGCGCAGAUGUCCGAAGAUGCACGUGCCAGUGUUUACAUCCGUUGAUGUCCACAUGUGUUUGUUUACAUUAACAUUUUAUACCGUGUUCCAGUUAUGAAGAUUUGUGAAACCGGAAGUUACUUUUAGUAACUUAGACUUUUUGAUUUUCUUAAUUGAAAAUAGAACAUUUGUUGUUUAAA
This is a long non-coding RNA of Mytilus trossulus (common blue mussel), 894 nucleotides long. RefSeq lists it as uncharacterized. NCBI's taxonomy places the organism in Eukaryota, Metazoa, Mollusca, Bivalvia, Mytilida, Mytilidae. The record is from RefSeq and is a predicted model, not a curated record. The transcript is spliced from 2 exons.